AACGCACAUUGCGCCCCUUGGUAUUCCGGGGGGCAUGCCUGUUCGAGCGUCAUUUCAACCCUCAAGCACAGCUUGGUCUUGGGCCCUGCCGGCAACGGCUGGCCUUAAAAACAGUAGCGGCGCCAUCGAGCUCUACGCGUAGUAAUUAUACCCUCGCGUGUGAGUCCCGGUGGAUGCUGGCCAGCAACCCCCAAUUUUCUAUGGUUGACCUCGAAUCAGGUAGGGAUACCCGCUGAACUUAA
This 242-nucleotide unclassified non-coding RNA is filed under the name uncultured Helotiales. RNAcentral's name for it is "sequence contains ITS2". The record is from RNAcentral. Lineage: Eukaryota; Fungi; Ascomycota; Leotiomycetes; Helotiales.